AUGAACGCUGGCGGCAUGUUUAAGGCAUGCAAGUCUUGGGGUAGCUUGCUACCCCGGCAGACGGGUGCGUAACACAUUGGUAAUCUACCUUGAGCUCGAGUAUAACCCGGAGAAAUCUGGGACAAUCCUCGAUAAUCAUGGGGGGACAUUAGUCAUUCCCAUGUAAAGCUUCGGCGGCUCGAGAGGAGCCUAUGGCCCAUCAGCUAGUUGGUAGGGUAAUGGCCUACCAAGGCUAUGACGGGUAGCGGGUGUGAGAGCAUGACCCGCCUCACUGGGACUGAGACACUGCCCAGACUCCUACGGGAGGCUGCAGUCGAGAAUCUUCCUCAAUGGCCGAAAGGCUGAAGGAGCAAUGCCGCGUGAUCGAAGAAGCCCUUCGGGGUGUAAAGAUCUUUUAUGAGGGACGAAUUUGUGACGGUACCUCAUGAAUAAGCCACUGCUAACUUCGU
RNAcentral lists this ribosomal RNA (449 nucleotides) under uncultured bacterium. RNAcentral describes it as "bacterial SSU rRNA". It matches the Rfam family "Bacterial small subunit ribosomal RNA", at positions 29 to 506 of the family's 1533-position model. The record is from RNAcentral.